GUCCAAAUGAUGAGUCCCGAAUAGGACGAAAUGUACAUCCUGGAU
This 45-nucleotide non-coding RNA is filed under the name Trichobilharzia regenti. Lineage: Eukaryota; Metazoa; Platyhelminthes; Trematoda; Strigeidida; Schistosomatidae. The record is from RNAcentral.